Molecule: ribosomal RNA, 465 nt
Filed under: uncultured bacterium
Lineage: Bacteria
Description: partial 16S ribosomal RNA
Rfam family: Bacterial small subunit ribosomal RNA
Source: RNAcentral
GACGAACGCUGGCGGCGUGCUUAACACAUGCAAGUCGAACGGAAAGGCCCUGCUUGCAGGGUACUCGAGUGGCGAACGGGUGAGUAACACGUGGGUGAUCUGCCCUGCACUUCGGGAUAAGCCUGGGAAACUGGGUCUAAUACCGGAUAGGAGCCAUUUUUAGUGUGAUGGUUGGAAAGUUUUUUCGGUGUAGGAUGAGCUCGCGGCCUAUCAGCUUGUUGGUGGGGUAAUGGCCUACCCAGGCGGCGACGGGUAGCCGGCCUGCGAGGGUGGACGGCCACAUUGGGACUGAGAUACGGCCCAGACGCCGACGGGAGGCAGCAGUGGGGAAUAUUGCACAAUGGGCGCAAGCCUGAUGCAGCGACGCCGCGUGGGGGAUGACGGCCUUCGGGUUGUAAACUCCUUUCGCGAGGGACGAAGCUUUUUGUGACGGUACCUAGAUAAGAAGCACCGGCUAACUACGUG